This 253-nucleotide ribosomal RNA is filed under the name uncultured bacterium. Its description in RNAcentral is "partial 16S ribosomal RNA". It matches the Rfam family "Bacterial small subunit ribosomal RNA", at positions 524 to 776 of the family's 1533-position model. The record is from RNAcentral.
GACAGAGGGGGCAAGCGUUGCUCGGAAUUACUGGGCGUAAAGCGUGCGCAGGCGGCUUUGCAAGACAGAUGUGAAAUCCCCGGGCUUAACCUGGGAACUGCAUUUGUGACUGCAAGGCUGGAGUGCGGCAGAGGGGGAUGGAAUUCCGCGUGUAGCAGUGAAAUGCGUAGAUAUGCGGAGGAACACCGAUGGCGAAGGCAAUCCCCUGGGCCUGCACUGACGCUCAUGCACGAAAGCGUGGGGAGCAAACAGG